UCUCCCCGUUGUUUCCCCUCCCUCCUCUCCCUCUCUCCCCUUCCUUCUCCCUCUUCUCCCUUUCUCUAGCUCUUCCUCUUCCAAACCAGGUUUUCUUUCGCCUUUUACAAGGGAGUGCCUUGUGCUGAAAGGGUUGCUUUAGGCUUGUUCUAGCUGUUUGGAAGAGAGGAAAAAUGACUUAAAAAUGUAGGGGGCAGAGAUGAAAUGAAAACUGAAUUGGCCCUUGGUGAAAUGGGGCAGCAGGUGCAUUAAUUACCCUUGAUUGCAUGUUGGUUGAUUACCUCGGUCACUGGUGCCUUGUGAUCUGCAUUAACAUCUGCGUCCGGCACAUAUCUUCGGUAUUUCUCUAAGCAAGAUGAAUAUUGACCAGAUGGUGACUUCUCGAGGACAUAAUUCACAGAGCAUUUUUCCUGCCCCCACAUAGAUCCCUGUAAAGGAAUCCUGAAUGUCAAUGCCGAACAAAGCACAACAAGGAAAACACCCCCCCCCCCCAAAGACUGGGCAGUAAGUUGAAGAUUAAUGACCUCCUUGGCAAUGCCUGACAGAAGACCAAAUGGCAGGCAGGUCCCAGGCUCCAGCACACAGAUCUUGCCAGCUCCGUCCCCCAUCUUUUCAGAGGAAACGAAUGUUAUUUGUAGAUCCAUUUUGUGUGGCCAAGAGAAGACUGCUGGCUAGCCACCCACUGAAAUGUAACUGGCCACACAGAAAACUGGACCAUGCCUUCUCCUUAGCAGAAGAAAAGCUUAAAAGAGCAUCUCUAUGAAAAUGGAGAACUUAAGGAUCUUAAAGAAAAGCAAGAGUCACUGAAGAGGAUGGAGAAUUAAAUAACUUAUUUGUGGACUUCUGUAAGUUUUUUUUUUAAUUUAUGUGU
This 871-nucleotide long non-coding RNA is filed under the name Monodelphis domestica (gray short-tailed opossum). RNAcentral describes it as "lncRNA (ENSMODG00000031329.2)". The record is from RNAcentral. Lineage: Eukaryota; Metazoa; Chordata; Mammalia; Didelphimorphia; Didelphidae.